Long non-coding RNA from Cryptotermes secundus, 8870 nucleotides. RefSeq lists it as uncharacterized. NCBI's taxonomy places the organism in Eukaryota, Metazoa, Arthropoda, Insecta, Blattodea, Kalotermitidae. The record is from RefSeq and is a predicted model, not a curated record. The transcript has 2 exons.
UCUGAGCCGUUACAGUUACAGCAGCAAUCUGUGAGGAAUAUUGGGCCCGGUUAAAGGUGUUGCGAAGUUUCUGUCCUCGAUUGAACGUCCUGUAGUAUAGGUAGUGCUGAUGAUAAUAGAUAAAAAAAAUAUAACUGCAGAAAGUUCUUCCUCUGUCAUAAACCGAAAUCCAGGAUCUCCUUCAUCCUGCUCAAACCAUUCUUGGAUAUAGUCCUGAGUUGUAUCAGUCUCUCCAGCUGCCCUCAACACAGUCUGAAAGUCGUCUUGAUCCUAAAUUACCAGUGUCUUUUAAAGUAUGUACUCAUCUGUGAACAGAAUAUUUCAUAUUUCAAUAUGGAUUAACUGAAACUGGAUUAGCGAGAAUUUAGGCAGUGUCUACACGAGUGCACAAAAUGCGUCCGUUGUAACAAACGUACUUUGCUGAGGACACCACACAGUUGGAGAAUGCAGUGCAUAGUUUUUUGUCUGCAGUGGAGCCAGAAGAAAGCAUAGCAUUCGCCUCUCUUGUUUAUAUCUACAACGGAUGUCACGAUGUUCGUUACAACAGAAGCCUUCUGUGUGCUUGUGUAGACGCUACCUUACUGUAUGUUUUAACACAUGACACUACCUGUUCUCAAAUAAUGCAUUCUUCACAAAAUCGGUAUAAAUGAAUUUCCAUACACAAUACUAGGCAGAAAGACAGGAGAAGUAGUACUCUGUCCCUCUGAAUUUUUAUAUGUUGAUUUUAAUGUGCGUGUCUGACCAGUGGAGUUGUAUAAAUGUGAUAAUGUUCAGUUGGUGGAAGCCUUUGUCAGGCAGGCUUCACAUACUUUGUGCAAUUUUUGUUUCUAUUCUUUGUUACAUCAGUUCAUUUUCAUGAUAACAAAACUUUUGUGCAGGAAAUACAUGGCAAGGUUACCAUUUUAAAUUGCUCUAAUGAUAUUCUUUUAUAAAUAUAUUUUAAAGAAAAUUAAGUGAUAAAUUGUAUACACAGUAAACUUCACUGUAUUAUAUUUGCAGAGAGAGAGUACCAUAUAUUGGAUCGGAGGAAUGUAGAAGUGAAUGGCCAAUAUGUUCCGCAUCAGACGGUCCAAGUUACAUAUGUUGGUAUGAGUUAUACAGUGAGACAUUAACUCGUGUAACCAUGUUUAAUAUUUUGUUGUUUGUUCAUUAAUUUACUAUAUAUAUGACGUGAGCAAUAGCUCUUAGUAAAUUGGCAGUCACCAGAUAUUAUCAGUGUGCUUGUAAUUAUACAAUGGAAAUUCAAAGUGUGGGAAUGUGCACAUCCUCAUAUACUUCGAGGCUGAUAAAUGGUAAUCUUGCUGUGGACAGAACGUAAUGGAAAGCUUGUAAGUGUUGACAGAACAUAAAUACCCUCAUUUUGAAACGAAAGCAUUUAAGACAGUUUUAGAGACAUCUGGGUGACCUGCAUGUUGUGAAGCUCCUGUUGAGAAUUAAACAAUUGGAUUAGAUUAUUUUUAACUCUUUCUUUAUUGUCAAUUUUACCGACCAAGCGACCACUGAUUGUCCGCAAAUUUAAGUGCCAACUUAGCGGAUAGAGGGAGUCGUGUGGUCAGCACAACGAAUCCCACGGCUGUUAAUAGUUCACUUGCAGACUACAAUCAUGGAGUUUUUUUUUUUCUUGUCAAAUUUGAAUGUCCCUUUACAUAAAGACAUUCCUGUUCUUCGAAAUGUAGUAUUUAUCUUGAGUGAAGAUAUGCAUGCAUAACAAACCCACACAUACAUUGUUUAUCCUCUCUGGAUACCGGUCUUCUCUUAUUACAGACUGAGUCUUGUGAGUUCUGAUGAUUUAUGGAUAAAGGAAAGUUUGCAUUGAUGCAUCUAAAUUGCAAAUGUUACUGGAAGUGUUCAUGGAAUUUAUUACAUUUAUUCUGUGUGAACAUGGAUGACAACAUUUGUGACAAGAAAAUUAUGUUUUCAAGGCCCAGUCUGAAAGAAGCCUGACUGGGUAACAAUCAAAUCUAGUGUGUGGCUUAGCAUAGGUAGAAAUUAUACUGAACUUUAAUUAUUUUUCCGAAAUUCUCUUUGCAAAUGCGUCACAGAGUAGAGUGGCCAUACCCCCUGGCCACUGUGACCCAGAAAUGUUAUUUGAGGCUUAUUUUAUUGCAGAACAGUGACUCUGAUAUUAGGUCAUCUGCAGUACAUCCCCACCAUUGCCAAGAAAUGAAGCAGGAAUUGUCAUCAAGUAUUAAUUACCACCAGUUGUCCAAAUAUUUUUUCCUUUCCAGUAAAACUUUCUUUACUGCAUGAAACUAUAUACAUGCAAACAAACUUUGAGGUUCCUAUCACUGACCACUGCUACUACUGGUACGCAAAUGUUGUUCACUUAAUGUCACAUUAGCUGGUGUGAGGUUACCUCCAACACUGAAUUUUGGCUUGUGGGCUUUGUCACAUUAGCUGGUGUGAGCUUACCUCCAACACUGAAUUUUGGCUUGUGGGCUUUGUCACAUUAGCUGGUGUGAGGUUACCUCCAACAUUGAAAUUUAGUUCGGCUUGUGGCCUUGUGUAUUGAACUUAUUUAUUGCCAUGAAGCUGAAAACUACAUAUAAAUUCCAUGCAGUAACCCCCCCCCGCCCCCCACGCCUCCAAAGAACACUAAAAGUUCUUUUUACCAUACAUAAUGUCAUGCUACUCUAUUAAGUGUCACUCCCAUCUCACAAGUUUGUGCGUCUGUCAUGUUACUCCUGCCACUUAGUAUGCUGGGCUGACCUGUAUUAUCAUAAUAUCCAUACCAAAUUUCAGGAAACUUGGUCAGCUGGUUCAAAAGUUUAAACGGAGGAGACACAUACAGACAGCAUGGCGAUCUCAUAAGCCUGCCUUUUUCCUCAAGGAAGGAAAGUAGGCUAAUAAGGGAUGCAACACUCUUUAUCCUCUGUUGUUAAUAUUCGUAGGUUCUUCAGUCACUAACAUCAAACUUCCCUUAUAAUUAUAGGUUCUAUGUCGGUCUUCUUUCAUUCACGGAAGGAUCAGUUUAUAAUUUUCUGAUGUCUUGGUUCAUAUGUUUGGUAAUAAUUAUCUUUACUCUUCUUUAUUUUUCUGACUCCUUCUGUUACUGAUAAUAAUAACAUGACCUUUAUAUCUAAUCUUUUAUCUUUGAAAGCGAGUACGUAUGAUACUGUAUUUUACUAUUACAGAAUUGUCAUUAAAUCUUUAGCUAAGGCUCUAAAGUUAAAUUCUGUCUUUUAGCAAAACUUCAUCCAGUGACUUUGAAGCUGAAGAAUGAACUGAAUGAUAGCCUGUAAUCUUACCAUAUACAAGUUGGACAAAACGUUAAAUGUGCUUUGUUUUGGAACAUGAAUGUACAAUUUGUGUCUUGCGUACAUUUUGUUUUCCUGAAUACUGCGUGUUUCAUAUAUACAAAACAACAACAGGUUGGUUCCAUUUUUUUGUGGUAUCCACACACAUUCUGCAUAGGCCAAACAAGAUUUUGAAGGCAAUUCAAACCAUGAGAAACAAAAUUUUAUAUUUAUUCAUGUCUGUUCAUUUCCAUGCUUCAGACUACUACUAAAAUGAUGAUUUAGAAGCAACUUAUAUGCGAUGCUUAGCCAAAGAAAACAUUUUAAGUGGUAGCGGGAUAAAUGGAGGUUUUAUUUUACAUACAGUUUUGCCUUGUUACAAGUCCAGUAUUGUUGCUUCUCAUUUAACAUCAGAUUCCUACCAGGGUCCCAGAAAUAUAAAGUUGCUAUACACUGAAGAAGAAUGUUGUAUAAGCCACACAACCUGUGGUCACUCAGAUGUAUUCUAACAUACGAGGCUUAUCUGGUCAUAUUGGAAUAAAAUACAGUUAUCCAGGCCUUGUGAUAUAUAUUUACAUUUUGAAACCCAACUCAUGAUCAUUUCGGGUACAUAUAAGAAGCCAAAACAUCUUUAAGUGGGUUUUUACUUGUAACAAUUCAUCAAAAAUUUGAAAAUUAUUGAGUUUAUGGAAUUGUGAUCAGGAAUAGCUUGUGGUAAAAGAUUAUGAUGAAGCAAUGCUAUACAAAAAAGAAUAUUGGAAGUAGCGAAUACAUACCUGUUUGAAAGUCCCACAUGAAUCAAAACCAGUGUAAUAGGUAGAUAACUAAGUCAGAGAAGCAGAAUCAUUCUUGAGAUGGUAAUAUUCUUGGCUAGUCAAGAAAUUCCUCACCUAAAAAUGUAACCCAGAGUUUCAGUACUGUGUGUCACAAGGACAUGGUGUAUUGGUAUUUGUACUGUGCUCUUGUAGAAAUCACCAACAGAGUAUUAUAAAGAUACCAGUAAGACUAGAGUUACCAUAUCUUAACCAGUGAAGCCCACAGAUAUUUUCCACUAAGCAAUAAUAUUUAUUUAGUUUAGAAGAGCACAUCAUAAUGUGGUAUUCAUUUUCAAGUGUUCAGUAAAAUUCAUUUUGAAUUAAAACAAAUCAGGAGUAUUAUUACAUCAGAAUUUCAGGUAUCUUAUGGUAAUCACAUUAAUAUCAAAAGGAAGUGAAAUGAGAGCAGUCAUAGCCAUCAAAAGGAAGUGAAAUGACAGCAGUCGUAGCCAUCAAAAGAAGUGAAAUGAGAGCGGUCGUAGCCAUCAAAAGGAAGUGAAAUGAGAGCAGUCAUAGCCAUCAAAAGGAAGUGAAAUGGGAGCAGUCAUAGCCAUCAAAAGGAAGUGAAAUGAGAGCAGUCAUAGCCAUCAAAGGGAAGUGAAAUGAGAGCAGUCAUAGCCAUCAAAAGGGAGUGAAAUGAGAGCAGUUGUAGCCAUCACUGAAGAUACUUGUGAGCCAAGGAUUUUAGAUGCUUCAAUAUAAAAUUCUCGGUAUUGUAGCAUAGGAAAUUUUGUAACUGCAAGUAAAGCAUGCUUGCUUGUACACACCUUUGAAUACUGCACUGAAUAAGAGAUGCACUUGAGUGUCUGGAAGACCAUCAGUUUUCUCAGUGUUGUUUCAGUGCAUACUUUGAAAUAAAAGAACAAGAACAUUCUCUAAGUUAACUGUUCCUGUAUUGAUUAUCAACAAAAAAUAUAGGCUUCAGAUGAAAGCAAACAUGCCCUUACAUUUUCUACUUUUGUUCUUAUGGCUAGCCACCAUUUACAAGUGUCGACUCUCGACUUUUCUCUUUUGGUUUCAGCUAUGUUGCUGGCAUUCUCCAGCACUGUCAUUCUUGAUUCCAGGCCUUGUCAGUCUCUUGAUUCAGAUUAACUUUGGGUUUUUGUAAAUCGGUGCUCGUUUUCACCAGCACAGCCACCAUGGGACCCUUGAGACCAUAUUCUCUCUCUAUCUCUUGUUCUCUUGGUUGUCAUUAUAUAUUUUUGGCACAGACUGCAUGGAAAAUGCUGCUUCAAAAAUAUUUAUCGUUACGUGUUUAUUUGUUGGCACAGGAAUGUGUUUACGAAGCUGUUGCCUAGCAGCGGACGUCUUGUCUGUCUCCCCUAUUCCAGCCCUCAGGCGUCAUCACAGUGCCCCCUCUAUAAGGCUGCUUAUCCUGAGCAGCCCCCCCAGAUGUACUGCCAUUUCCUCUGUCUUGAGGGUGUGUGCCAGCUAGGUCCAUGAUCACCCUCACGAAGGCUUUGCAACAUCAGACUGGUCUCAACACUUCUUCCUCCAGUUUUGAUGGCACCCAGUCCUCAAUCCUCAUGCUGAUGUUCUCCAGCUGCUCCGUCCUUAGAGAGCUCAUCUUGACACUUCCCUGGUAAGGUACUAGUCAGUCCAGACAUGCUACCAUCCCUUUCAUUCGAGUGUGUCCCUGAAUCAUGUGCACUGCAUUAUUGCUUCUGGGGACUACCCUUCAUGGGCCUUCCCACAUCAGUCGUGACUUCCACUUAGUGCAGUUUGGGUGGUAUAGCCACACUUGGUCACCCUCCUUGAAGCACAUGGAGUUGACCAGGCAAUCUUGUGACUUCUUUUCACUCUGUUAACUGACCUGCUUCAGGUGCUUGUGGAUAUAAUGGUGUACGUCAUGUGGCCAAUCCAUGUAGUCAACAGUUGGUUGCAUGUUGGGUGGCCAUCUUGAAAAGCAGGUUACAGAGCAGGAAGAGUUCUCUCCCAAAUGAUAGGUUAUAAUGUGACUGUUGUGCUGAAUUAGAGUGCAGACUUCUUAUAUGGGACAAAAUCUCAUCCUCAGUUGGCUCCCGCUCCAUAGGUUCACCUUUGGUUUCUCUUUCACCUUUGUUAGAUAAGGAUGAUCUGGUGCAGAACCCUCAUCAUCACUGAUGUACAUGCUAGAUGUAUUUAUAUCACAUGAUAGGCUUCUGUCUACUGAUUCAAGAUCUACUCCUUCCCUAGUCAUUAGGUGGUAGUGGCGAACCAUAAACUUUGAGCUCUGACUUGACUCAUCUAUCUUGUUGGUCAGGCCAGUCCGGUAAAUUGCUAAUGGCUUUCACCAGCAUGACCAUUCUUGGUUCCAAGUCCUGCAGGACUCAUGAUGACCAUAUUUUUUCUGACUCACAAGUCUGGGACUCACUUUUCUCUUAACUUCUCAUGUUGGCCCUCAUUAUAUGGCCUUAGCAUGGACCAUGGGGAAGUGUUUUUUGGGCUGUUGCCUAGUAGUGGAUGUCUCAUCUGGCUCUCCUAUUCCAGUUAGUGUCCUGUUACAGUAGCAUUAGCGUUGUAAAAACAACUGACAAAUUGUCACACAGCUGAAAUAAUUUUUCUUGGUUUACGUGUGGCUGUAUAGCAUUCCACUUACCCACACUGUUAGUACUGGAAGGAUAAUAUUUGAAUAUAAUGUAUGCUCAGAUUUAGAAAACAGAAAUUAUAAAGGGAAGAGGUAUGCGCUAUUCUAAUGGUGCAUGGUUUAUUUUGUUGUGGCUUUGUUUUAAAAAUGUGUUCUUGGCAUUUUUAUUAACGGCCUCAUUCACCACCUUGUCUCCAUGUGCACAUUUAUCACUGCUAUGUUAAUUCACAAAAAAGAACUAUUUCCAAUUGAUUGUGCUUGAAUGUUAAAGUGAUAUAUACUCUUAAUCACUGAAGAUAUAGUAUACUGAAGCCCAGAUGGCAUGAAACUGUUAGAAGUUUAAAACUGUUGCAGAUGAAUUUUCUUUCAGUUCCAGAAAAUGUAGCUCUUCACAAAAGCCAAUGCUGGAAUUUUAAAUGUAUGAUCUCAUAACGAAGUCCUCAUAUGUAAAUGUCUUGUAUUAUGAAUAUUCCUCCUCACUUUUCCUUUGCUCAUGUGAUGAAGGCAGAAAAUUCCUCCAGAAUUUCAGAAAUUUCUUUUAUAACGCAGUUUUUAACUUUUCUUAAUUAUAGUAAUGUGAGUAGCAGUUAGAGAAGUAUGCAAUAUAUAGCACAUACAGUACUGAUUUUUAUUUAGAGUAUGUGGUUUGAAUUUUAUUUCUGUUCCCUGGUUCUACCAACAUUCACACAAAAUUUAAUUCUUUGCAGUCUUUUUUUUUCUCUUCUUUUUUUGCAAACAGUGGGACGAGAAUGUUGAUAACUAUUGCAAUGUAUUCUGUUUGAAAGGUCCUGAGUUGGGUGCUAAACACCAUUUUGAAAAGGUGUAUGUAAUGUACAGUGUUGUUUUAUAUAAGGAAGAAUUUGUUUUGUUUUUAAGGAAGAAUGUCAGAUUACUGUGUAUGUACUAUUAUAUAUAUAAAAGAGGUCUAUAAUUACAGAGGUAUAGAUAAGAGAACUGUCCAGUCUUUUGAGGAUGCAGCUAAGUCGAAGAUGAAACUAAUCAAGGAAACAACAGAUAUUUUUAAAAUUUGUAUUCAUCUCCUUUCUUUCAGAAAUACUGCUAUUAUUUCUUGUUGACUAGAAAGUCUCCCUUCUUGGCAUCUUCUCUCGUGUACUAAGUGUUCCAUAAACAGCAUUGAAAAUGCGUGGAUGUUAAAAAAACAGCGCUGUUACAUUAGUGUGUUUCUAAUGUAACUUCAUUAUCUAUAAAUAGCUCGAUAAUGUCUUGUAUAGUAGGCAAACCUUGGUUUCCAAUCUUUGUUGUAAGUAAAGGAGCGUCCAUUUACAAAAAAGAAUAGAAGGUAAUUGUGUUUAUAUUCUGUAAUCAGUGACAAUGCUAUGUAAUAUAUUCAGCUGUGUUAUCAGCUUUGUCUUGACAGGAUUCCCAGUGGAAUGUUUUGAAGAUAAGACGGUCAUGAUUUCAAGGGAAUGUGUAACUGAGAGCAUGAGUGGUUGUAAUGGUAUCCUUUGAUGUUAUCUGAGGUGGUUUUUAUUUAUUCUGAAGAUAAUAGGAAAUUUUGAAAGUAUCUGAAGUCUGUUGGACAGAUACAAAAUGCCAUGCCGUGAUCCAUCUCCGUGAAUUAGUUUGUUUUGGCAGAGGAAUUUGAGUUAGUCUGUUGAUUGUGGAAGAAUAUGAAUGGCAGUGUUAUCUGACAGGUUAGGGUAGUUUUUUUUUUAACAUUUUAAAUGAAAAUGAAUUAAUGUAUUUAGGAAUUUAAAUACGUGCAUAUGAGAUUAAAAUUAUUUAUAUGUGUAUAAAAUAAUUAUAGCCUGUUGCUUUGUAUCAUUUCAGAAUAUGAUCCAUUGAGCUGAAGGAACAACAGAAAUUGUCAGUUUCUUAAACAAAGUGUUAAUAAAACAUACUUAGAAGCAAGACAUGUAAAUGGAUUUGAAGUGCGGAAUAUCAGAUAUUUCAAGCUUUGUAAAUUUCUUUUUCAACCUAUUGUUAAAUCAGAGACAUUGUGAUAAUUCAAACAUAUGGUUUGGAUGAAGGAUACAAACACAAAAUUUCAUGGGGGAAAUUGCUUGAAAUGUGGCAACGUGGAAGUCUUCCGACAGCUUAGCCCAUAGGAAAAUUGAAAAGGGAUAUCCUUUUAUAGUCCAUAGAUCACUUGGUACUGCCAUACCUUUAUAAAAUUUUAAGGUAUACCAUAGGUUGGCAUGUUUUAUUAAUACGUAAAUAAUGGAAUUAUAAAUUUAGGAAGAUGUAAUAUUUGGAAAUGUUGUGGUUGUAGUAAGCAAAUAGUUGCACAUA